RNAcentral lists this ribosomal RNA (833 nucleotides) under Flavobacterium sp. LV-15. RNAcentral's name for it is "bacterial SSU rRNA". It matches the Rfam family "Bacterial small subunit ribosomal RNA", at positions 30 to 871 of the family's 1533-position model. Lineage: Bacteria; Pseudomonadati; Bacteroidota; Flavobacteriia; Flavobacteriales; Flavobacteriaceae. The record is from RNAcentral.
CGAGCGCUGCGGCGGCUUACACAUGCAGUCGAGGGGUAGUUAUCUUCGGAUAAUGAGACCGGCGCACGGGUGCGUAACGCGUAUGCAAUCUACCUUUCACAGAGGGAUAGCCCAGAGAAAUUUGGAUUAAUACCUCAUAGUAUAGUAGUCUCGCAUGAGACCACUAUUAAAGAUUUAUCGGUGAAAGAUGAGCAUGCGUCCCAUUAGUUAGUUGGUAAGGUAACGGCUUACCAAGACUACGAUGGGUAGGGGUCCUGAGAGGGAGAUCCCCCACACUGGUACUGAGACACGGACCAGACUCCUACGGGAGGCAGCAGUGAGGAAUAUUGGACAAUGGGCGCAAGCCUGAUCCAGCCAUGCCGCGUGCAGGAUGACGGUCCUAUGGAUUGUAAACUGCUUUUAUACAGGAAGAAACACUGGUUCGUGAACCAGCUUGACGGUACUGUAAGAAUAAGGAUCGGCUAACUCCGUGCCAGCAGCCGCGGUAAUACGGAGGAUCCAAGCGUUAUCCGGAAUCAUUGGGUUUAAAGGGUCCGUAGGCGGUCAGAUAAGUCAGUGGUGAAAGCCCAUCGCUCAACGGUGGAACGGCCAUUGAUACUGUCUGACUUGAAUUAUUAGGAAGUAACUAGAAUAUGUAGUGUAGCGGUGAAAUGCUUAGAGAUUACAUGGAAUACCAAUUGCGAAGGCAGGUUACUACUAAUAUAUUGACGCUGAUGGGACGAAAGCGUGGGUAGCGCACAGGAUUAGAUACCCUGGGUAGUCCACGCCGUAAACGAUGGAUACUAGCUGUUGGGAGCAAUCUCAGUGCCUAAGCGAAAGUGAUAAGUAUCCAA